AGCUCAGUCGGUUAGAGCAUCUGACUGUUAAUCAGAGGGUCCUUGGUUCAAGUCCAAGA
RNAcentral lists this transfer RNA (59 nucleotides) under Bacteroides fragilis. RNAcentral's name for it is "tRNA-Asn". It matches the Rfam family "tRNA", at positions 9 to 63 of the family's 71-position model. From Rfam's summary of the family: Transfer RNA (tRNA) molecules are approximately 80 nucleotides in length. Lineage: Bacteria; Pseudomonadati; Bacteroidota; Bacteroidia; Bacteroidales; Bacteroidaceae. The record is from RNAcentral. RNAcentral also lists the same sequence under 3 other names.